AACCUUUAGAUAAACAAAUAUUAAAGGCAACGCCUGCCCAGUGAACAAUUAAACGGCCGCGGUACCCUAACCGUGCAAAGGUAGCGUAAUCAUUUGUCUACUAAUUAUAGACCAGUAUGAAAGGCAAAAUGAGGGUCUAACUGUCUCUUAUAAUAAAUCUAUGAAACUGAUCUCCUAGUAAAAAAGCUAGAAUAUUCCCAUAAGACCAGAAGACCCUGUGAAGCUUAAACUAAACUAUUAACCCAAAUAAUAAUUACUUUCGGUUGGGGCGACCUUGGAAAAAAAAAGAACUUCCAAACACUAUGAAUUAUACCUCAUACACACAAGGCCAACAAGCCAAUAAAAGACCCAGCACAGCUGAAAACUGAACCAAGUUACUCCAGGGAUAACAGCGCAAUCUUCUUCAAGAGCCCAUAUCAAAAAGAAGGUUUACGACCUCGAUGUUGGAUCAGGACAUCCUAAUGGUGCAGCCGCUAUUAAGGGUUCGUUUGUUCAACGAUUAAAGUCCU
Molecule: ribosomal RNA, 509 nt
Filed under: Platyceps rhodorachis
Lineage: Eukaryota; Metazoa; Chordata; Lepidosauria; Squamata; Colubridae
Description: partial 16S ribosomal RNA
Rfam family: Bacterial large subunit ribosomal RNA
Source: RNAcentral